CACGCCGUAAACGAUGAAUACUAGGUGUAGGAGGUAUCAACUCCUUCUGUGCCGCAGUUAACACAAUAAGUAUUCCGCCUGGGAAGUACGAUCGCAAGAUUAAAACUCAAAGGAAUUGACGGGGGCCCGCACAAGCAGCGGAGCAUGUGGUUUAAUUCGAAGCAACGCGAAGAACCUUACCUAGACUUGACAUCCCCUGAAUUACUCGUAAUUGAGGAAGUCCCGACCGGGACAGGGAGACAGGUGG
This 247-nucleotide ribosomal RNA is filed under the name uncultured Clostridium sp. RNAcentral describes it as "partial 16S ribosomal RNA". It matches the Rfam family "Bacterial small subunit ribosomal RNA", at positions 796 to 1041 of the family's 1533-position model. Lineage: Bacteria; Bacillati; Bacillota; Clostridia; Eubacteriales; Clostridiaceae. The record is from RNAcentral.